ACGAGAACAAGCGCAGUAGCAGACAUCGGUUGCAGCCACCAGUCUCAUGCGAAGGGAGAUAUCCAGAAACCGCGAUAAGCUCGGACCUCCUCUGUUCCAUCGUUUAAGUGCAAACUGAAAUAGAACAAGGGACAACAGGCGGCAAUUCCCUGCUUGGCUUUAGCGAACCAGUUGGAGCAUCGGAGAUUGCUUGACAGGCAGUAGAAAGAGGUGUCGUAGAACCCUGUUUCYGGAGUCUUUCUGGAUUCUGGGUUCUAUUGAAAAGCUCUCAAGGUGUUUUGUGAGGGGGUACAGGAGAAGAAUAGCUUGRAUUUGCUUGGGAAGAUAAAAGUUUAUUCCUAGGCCCAUUAAACUUGCCAAUUUCUGGCUGUUGUUUCAAGAAUGUGUGAGGCGAUGGAACCAUGGAUCCUCAAAGUUUUGAAAAGAGUGGCAUUAGGUGGACUGCCAGGUCCAUUAGCUACAAGAUCACCCUAUGGAAAUAAAGUAGGCCAAUUUGCUAGCUAUAUUGUGAUACAUCAUCAUAAAAUAUAAAAGGAAAAAAAGGAAAGGGGAAACCCUCAAAGCCUAUGCUGUCACUUGGAGAGCUGUUGAAGYUGCCUUCUCCCCUUUUAUGGUUUCUUCCUGUUUCUUUAUUUUUCUUCGUUAUGUUUGUAUCCAAAAGGUUCAAAUAA
Non-coding RNA from Nelumbo nucifera (sacred lotus), 671 nucleotides. The record is from RefSeq and is a predicted model, not a curated record. NCBI's taxonomy places the organism in Eukaryota, Viridiplantae, Streptophyta, Magnoliopsida, Proteales, Nelumbonaceae.